Molecule: unclassified non-coding RNA, 148 nt
Organism: Pongo abelii (Sumatran orangutan)
Lineage: Eukaryota; Metazoa; Chordata; Mammalia; Primates; Hominidae
Rfam family: Metazoan signal recognition particle RNA
About the family: The signal recognition particle (SRP) is a universally conserved ribonucleoprotein. It is involved in the co-translational targeting of proteins to membranes. The eukaryotic SRP consists of a 300-nucleotide 7S RNA and six proteins: SRPs 72, 68, 54, 19, 14, and 9.
Source: Ensembl
GCCAGGUGUGGUGGUGUGCACCUGUAGUCCCAGCUACUUGGGAGGCUGAGACAGGAGAAUUGCUUGAACCCAGGAGGCAGAGGCUGCAGUGAGCCGAGAUAUGGCCACUGCACUCCAGUCUGGGUGAGAGAGUGAGACCCAGUCUCAA